UGAACGCUGGCGGCGUGCCUACUACAUGCAAGUCGAGCGAACAGACGCGGAGCUUGCUCCUCUGACGUUAGCGGCGGACGGGUGAGUAACACGUGGAUAACCUACCUAUAAGACUGGGAUAACUUCGGGAAGCCGGAGCUAAUACCGGAUAAUAUAUUGAACCGCAUGGUUCAAUAGUGAAAGACGGUUUUGCUGUCACUUAUAGAUGGAUCCGCGCCGCAUUAGCUAGUUGGUAAGGUAACGGCUUACCAAGGCAACGAUGCGUAGCCGACCUGAGAGGGUGAUCGGCCACACUGGAACUGAGACACGGUCCAGACUCCUACGGGAGGCAGCAGUAGGGAAUCUUCCGCAAUGGGCGAAAGCCUGACGGAGCAACGCCGCGUGAGUGAUGAAGGUCUUCGGAUCGUAAAACUCUGUUAUUAGGGAAGAACAAAUGUGUAAGUAACUAUGCACGUCUUGACGGUACCUAAUCAGAAAGCCACGGCUAACUACGUG
This 495-nucleotide ribosomal RNA is filed under the name uncultured bacterium. RNAcentral's name for it is "partial 16S ribosomal RNA". It matches the Rfam family "Bacterial small subunit ribosomal RNA", at positions 30 to 507 of the family's 1533-position model. The record is from RNAcentral.